This is a long non-coding RNA of Oncorhynchus tshawytscha (Chinook salmon), 739 nucleotides long. The record is from Ensembl. Lineage: Eukaryota; Metazoa; Chordata; Actinopteri; Salmoniformes; Salmonidae.
UUGCCAUAGAAAUAUAAUUCUAGUGAAAUACAAUUCUAAAGUUCUAGUGACAUGAACUGUAUUCUAAAAUAGGUUUAUCGAUCACUUUUCUCACACACGCAGAUCUUGUUAUCUGUAGGCUGUUGUGGAUUCGUAUAGUUUAAGUAUAUUUUUAGGUCCUGGGAUCAACAACUGGAGAAAUUCAAGAGAUCCCAUGAGUAAUAAUGAAAAAUUAUGAGAUUAAGAUGAUGUACUCUUGUUUUUAGCUUUUGUCGCAAAUUACUUUUCUUUUUAAAAAUCCAGUUGCCUACAUGACUGAUACAAACGCUCAAGUCCCAGGGCUGGAGGACCAGCAUAGAACUUCUUCCUCCAGUUCCUCUGGCUGUAGGGAGACAAGUCAGGCUGCAGUGGCCUCUGGAUCCAGAGUCAGUGGAGAGCAGCGUCCUCAGAAACCAAGCAAACAGCGCUCCCAACAGGGCUUCAGUGUACUACAGAAACUGUCUGCGGAAGAACAGAGGAUCGCAAAUGAAUGUCUACAUGGUGUGAUUAGUUUGGAGGACCUGAGUCACGCCUCGGAUGGCAUCAUCGACUGGGUGUUGACCAUCACCACUGAAGUUCUCCUCCCUUCCAUCUCCCUGUGCAAAGCUCUGAGAAGCAGAUCCACCUCCAGAUCCUCUAGGACCUCCUCCAGCACUAAGCAGGAUCCACAGAGAAGGACCCCAUCAGAGGCCUCACUGCUACAGGCCCCAUCAACAUCAAC